AUUUUACCUCUCUUAGUAAAACUCUGAAAGCGCUUACAUAACCUAGGCAGAAAACACUGCAAAAAGGCCACUGAACACCUGUUGAGAAACAAGGUAGUUUUCUUUCUUGGAAUUGCAAGAGCUAUAUAGAUAUUUUGUGACCUUAACACUAUUUAGCUAUCACCCAUGAGCAAACCAAAGCAUGUUCUUAACCACUAUACUACCCUUAAGUCAGAAAUGCCACUCCUGGGACUGUAUCCUGAGCAAUCUUAGGGUACAAAGAUUUUUACAAUGGCAUUACUCAAAGUAACAAAAAAUUGGAAAUAACUAAGCUUUUUUUUUUUUUUUUUUUUUUGAGACAAGGUCUCACUCUGUUGCCAGCCU
This is a long non-coding RNA of Sapajus apella (tufted capuchin), 363 nucleotides long. RefSeq lists it as uncharacterized. The transcript is spliced from 3 exons. NCBI's taxonomy places the organism in Eukaryota, Metazoa, Chordata, Mammalia, Primates, Cebidae. The record is from RefSeq and is a predicted model, not a curated record.